AUUAUGUUGGCACGCACAAAAACAAGUACAAGUAGUUUCAUCAUCCUGCAACCUUCCUGAUAUACGCCCUUCCAGGAAGGGCAUCUUGAGAUCGGCCGAGCAAUUCAGAAUACCCAUGCCAUCCUCCGGCCUUCAUAGGUGGAGGCACAGAUGCCUUUGCUAAAGGUGGAGGCAUUGGCGACUUUGAUAAAUGUAGAGGCGCAGACGCCUUUGACAUAGGUGGAGGCACAGACGCUUUUGCAAGUGACCUGCCAGAGCUUACUGUCAUAUUUGCUAACUUCUCACUUGCAUCCGAUACCCCACGUGCUUUCCCAUGGUUCCAUGCUGCUGUUGCAGGUGAUAAACCAUCAAUAUACAUUCUCAC
This 364-nucleotide long non-coding RNA is filed under the name Salvia miltiorrhiza (redroot sage). Its description in RNAcentral is "long non-coding RNA (SMIL_LNC000651)". The record is from RNAcentral. Lineage: Eukaryota; Viridiplantae; Streptophyta; Magnoliopsida; Lamiales; Lamiaceae.